This is a non-coding RNA of Schistosoma mattheei, 45 nucleotides long. The record is from Rfam. Lineage: Eukaryota; Metazoa; Platyhelminthes; Trematoda; Strigeidida; Schistosomatidae.
AUCCGGCUGACGAUUUCCAAAUAGGAGGAAAGGCGCGUCCUGCAU